UGAGGAAUAUUGGUCAAUGGGCGCAAGCCUGAACCAGCCAUCCCGCGUGAAGGAAGACUGCCCUAUGGGUUGUAAACUUCUUUUAUGUACCAAGAAUGUGCACUACGUGUAGUGUAAUGACGGUAGUACAUGAAUAAGCAUCGGCUAACUCCGUGCCAGCAGCCGCGGUAAUACGGAGGAUGCGAGCGUUAUCCGGAUUUAUUGGGUUUAAAGGGUGCGUAGGCGGCUUUUUAAGUCAGUGGUGAAAUCCUGCGGCUUAACCGUAGAACUGCCAUUGAUACUGAAGAGCUUGAGUACAAUUGAGGUAGGCGGAAUGUGUAGUGUAGCGGUGAAAUGCUUAGAUAUUACACAGAACACCAAUUGCGAAGGCAGCUUACUAAACUGUAACUGACGCUGAGGC
This 400-nucleotide ribosomal RNA is filed under the name uncultured bacterium. RNAcentral's name for it is "bacterial SSU rRNA". It matches the Rfam family "Bacterial small subunit ribosomal RNA", at positions 355 to 752 of the family's 1533-position model. The record is from RNAcentral.